Molecule: long non-coding RNA, 2276 nt
Organism: Zingiber officinale
Lineage: Eukaryota; Viridiplantae; Streptophyta; Magnoliopsida; Zingiberales; Zingiberaceae
Exons: 3
Source: RefSeq, a predicted model, not a curated record
CCCUUCGUCGCCUUCUCUCGGCACUUAUCCUGAAUCUUCACGAGGGUUAGAUUGGCCAGCAAGACCAGCAGCAGUUGAAUUGCUUGACUCGGUCCGCGUCGAAGCUCAUUAGAAUGAUGACCUCGCUAGUCGCUGUUGGUCCGGCUCUGUUUGGCCUGGGUCGACAAGGUGAUUCCGAUUUUGGUAGAUGAUGGCGACGAGGGCAGCCCGAGCUCUGAUCCAUGCCUGCUGCUGCCGGAAGAACCAAUGGCAUUGCAAGAGGCACUCGACGAGCUUCCUAGCGAUGAUAACAGCCAUAACCGGCGCCGACGAACUUGGGGUCGCCGUUGAGGUAAAUUUGAUGAGGUAGGGGCCACCUAGGAAGAGAGGAUUUGUAGGAUUGCAUAGGAGAGCAGAAAAUCUGGUUCGCAAAUUAUGGAUCAGGGGUCAGGGGAUAGUCCACUGAUGUGCCCCUUACUUCGAAUGGACCCCAUUUUCAUCCGAGCGGGCUGCGAGGCUCGAAGCAAACGGAACAGCAGUCGAGGUUGUUUCGGAAGACAGGAAAGACGCCGUUGAUGCUAUCGUGCGCAUCUCGCUACGGCACGUCCUCGAGGUCGAGAGCUUUGCGGUGAUCGUUGAUGGCGAGCAACGGUCCGAUCCAAUAGAAAGUGAGCGUGCUGAGGAGUGAGAAAGCCAGCACUUGUGAACAGGGAGCUGUUUCCUGUACUGUACUACUCUCCACAACAAUGGUUCCUCGGAAUCCGAUAUGUAUCACCCGCUCCGGCAGAAGCCGGCGGUGGCGCUCACGAUAAGGACAGAGAAAGCGGCGCCGACGUCGAAUACCCCAGCAGAGGACGACAAAGCCGUGCGCUGUUUAAGUAGAAGAGAUCCACGGCGAGAAAGGAACAGGAAAUGAAAAGGAAGAAACCCCGCCGGAUUCUGAGAAACGCGGGUAUGCGAGGAGAGGCAGAAGGCGAGGUACACUGCUGUGGCGAGCCAAGCUGCCACCGAAUAGAUGCGUCACAGAGAUCGGUCACCCCACCUGGUCCAAUAACCGUCCGUCCAUGUGCCAGAGGAAUUUGAGAAAGGAUAGAGAGGAAUAGCAGAGGCCGAGGACAGUAUUGCAUGUGGAGAAGGCUAAUUUCUGCCAGAAAGAUCAGCGAUCUCUGCUUUGCGCUUGCUGCUCUUGCGGGAUUGCAGUCAAAGGAUGCUCGAUGCCAGAAGCAGACGACGAAGAGAAUAGCAGUUCCUCUUCUCCUCGAGAGUUGAGGUGUUAAUUGAUGCGAGAAAGGCGUCGCCUUGCGGCGCAAGGUUGCAGAGGAGCGCGGCGCGCUCGACUUCCUCGCACCACGCGCAGAUGCCCCCAUGCGCACAAAGACGACUACUACGGUGGACCGUGACGCAGAUGGCAUGAAUGCAUCAGCUCAGUGACAGGGUCUCACACGCCGGCGAAAAUAAAAAACAGGGUAGAAGGUCGCAAAGUAGUAUAGGGGACAAGAAAUUGAGAUUGCAUACUAGAUUUGUUCCCUGUUUUUUUGAAAAUAAAAUAGAUCUCCACUGUUUUAGGGUACAAUACAUUUUAAGCAAGUUGGGGUUUUAUUGAGGUUUUAGGAUAAACGUGGAAACACACACUCUGCGGUAUGAAUCCGACCAGUCCGAAGCAUUACAACCAAAUCCGACCCGACCCAAAUAAUACCUGUUUUCGCUUCACGGAUUGCUCUAGGGCACGCAUUUGGAGGAAGCUAAGAUUAGGGUUUUUGCAUCUCCCGUGUCCUUCACCGAUGGAGGAAGUCACCGAGGGUGUUAACAAUCUCCACAUCUCGUCUGCUGAUUCCCACAAGAAGAACCGGAUCCAGGUGUCCGAUACCAAGAAGCCCCCUCUUCUUCGACGUUAAUCUCGCCAAGAGAUACAUGCAGCAGCAUAAUGAAGUCGAGCUGUCUGCUCUUGGAAUGGGAUGAUCAGUUGGAGCCAACCAGAUGGCCAUAACAGUGGAGGCAAAAGGAUGCAAUUAUAAGGGGAAAAAGUGGAUCAGAUUAAGAUACGACGAUGACAGGACUGUGUGUUAUGGAUGAUUCGGAUCAAGUGUGUUGGUGAACUAGCAAGACGGGCAGGUACGCGUGGGGGCAGGUGAACUGACCGAAUGAUACGUUCACAGAGCAGAGUGUAGGGCUGAGGGGGGAGUGGGAAAGGAGCAGAAACAGGAGAGGAUAAGCGAGCAGAAACAGGUAGUUGAUAGUGGUGCUGCCACAGACAAUUGUGCGGAAAAGAUCUUUAAAGUUGAUCAUUAUUCUGCUAA